AUUGUUCAUCUAGUAUCUUCUUUUCAUUUUGCCUUAUUUAGACACGACCCGCCUCUCCUAAAGCUCACGCUCCAAUGGAAAAUUUCUCUGCCGCAUCGAAGGCGGCAAAGCUUUCUCUUUCUUCGUGUUUAUCUCAAAUCCGAACUCUGGCUCUUCAUUAUCCAUAAAAUUCCCAAACUAAAUUUACCUUAUGGCAAUAAACCUAAUUUAUGA
Molecule: non-coding RNA, 213 nt
Organism: Vicia faba (fava bean)
Lineage: Eukaryota; Viridiplantae; Streptophyta; Magnoliopsida; Fabales; Fabaceae
Source: the annotation of a GenBank genome assembly